RNAcentral lists this ribosomal RNA (253 nucleotides) under uncultured bacterium. Its description in RNAcentral is "partial 16S ribosomal RNA". It matches the Rfam family "Bacterial small subunit ribosomal RNA", at positions 524 to 776 of the family's 1533-position model. The record is from RNAcentral.
UACGUAGGGUGCAAGCGUUGUCCGGAAUUAUUGGGCGUAAAGAGCUCGUAGGCGGUUUGUCGCGUCUGCUGUGAAAACUCGGGGCUUAACCCCGGGCCUGCAGUGGGUACGGGCAGACUAGAGUGCGGUAGGGGAGACUGGAAUUCCUGGUGUAGCGGUGAAAUGCGUAGAGAUCCGGAAGAACACCAGUGGCGAAGGCGGCCCGCUGGGCAGUGGCUGACGCUGAAGCGCGACAGCGUGGGGAGCAAACAGG